UGAUGUCCUUCAAGGGGAGGAGACCCCUUGGGAGGCCUACUUCUUGGAGGAGGAACUUGGACUUCUCUUGGCAGAUCUCAUCACCAUGGUAGACCUCAGCCUUGGCCUUGAGCUCCUCUGUGAUUAGAGGCAUCUUCUAAGCUCUUCUGUCUCUUUUCAGGUGAGCUUCCUUUGAGUGGGACUCUGGAUGGGGCUGCAAGAGGGAGUGCAAUGGUGUUUAUAUGAGAAAUUGGUAAUCAAACUGCCCAGAAGUUUUGAAAUAAUUUCACGUCUACCUCAACCCACCUAAUGCAUGUGAUGAUGCGUAGGUGCAAUAAGUGGGAGACAAUUUUUGGUACCACUUGACUUGCACACAUUGUCCCAACGAUAUCUAAUCUAAUCUAAUUAAAUGGAGGC
Molecule: long non-coding RNA, 396 nt
Filed under: Elaeis guineensis (African oil palm)
Lineage: Eukaryota; Viridiplantae; Streptophyta; Magnoliopsida; Arecales; Arecaceae
Description: long non-coding RNA (EGUI_LNC022264)
Source: RNAcentral